This 253-nucleotide ribosomal RNA is filed under the name uncultured bacterium. RNAcentral describes it as "partial 16S ribosomal RNA". It matches the Rfam family "Bacterial small subunit ribosomal RNA", at positions 524 to 776 of the family's 1533-position model. The record is from RNAcentral.
UACGGAGGGUGCAAGCGUUAUCCGGAUUCACUGGGUUUAAAGGGUGCGUAGGCGGGCAGGUAAGUCAGUGGUGAAAUCCCCGAGCUUAACUUGGGAACUGCCGUUGAUACUAUCUGUCUUGAAUACCGUGGAGGUGAGCGGAAUAUGUCACGUAGCGGUGAAAUGCUUAGAUAUGACAUAGAACACCAAUUGCGAAGGCAGCUCGCUACACGAAUAUUGACUCUGAGGCACGAAAGCGUGGGGAUCAAACAGG